Dermacentor albipictus is the source of this 1214-nucleotide long non-coding RNA. RefSeq lists it as uncharacterized. The record is from RefSeq and is a predicted model, not a curated record. Lineage: Eukaryota; Metazoa; Arthropoda; Arachnida; Ixodida; Ixodidae.
AUUAGCACGCGUAGAAGCAGGGUAGCGCGGAUCCCGUAAAUGCUUGCUUGGGCGUACAACUGAACAAUUUAUAAUUGUGAGUUGGCUAAGUAUGAAAGUUGUGUGCGGAGUAUGGCCGUAUUUGAUUACGCGAGCAUGCAAGCAGUACGCCUGUUUCACUUUGGCCGAAAUUCCGCUGCCGCUGCAAGCCAGCUAUCGCCACAUUUUGUCGCCUUCAUUCCUUACGCUACGAGCAAAUAUGGUGCCACCUAUGCAAGAUAAAGCCUGACAUUCUCAAAAACACGCCACUGGGCACCAUAAGAAGCGUGUAUAUGUGUGGCAAUUCCGAAUUUCUGAUCGGUAGGCGUCACAGCUCUCGCGGCUGCCCGCACACCGUGCGCCAUCCCAAGCGACGGAACAGCACAUGAUGCGCGCUGAUUGGCUCGUGUCCGCCGACAAACCACAGGACAAGCGUUCGCGCAUAGUUCGUCUAAAAUCUCUGCAUAUACUUUAAAAAAAACAAGGCAGCGCACCAAGACACUUUAAAAUCAAUAAUUUGUGUUUAAAUACCAGCCUUCCUUCCAGCAACGACGUUUUUAAAUCUCGAAGGCCGUGCUUUUCCAAAAUGCACGCCCUAAAGAAAAAUGUAGAUCUCGGAGGCUAAAUUCACGUUUUAACCGCAGUGCGGCGCUGCCGCAGUGUAACGGUUGACGGUGAGCUGGGUCACGUUGUUUUGCUGUGAGCUGUGAGAGUGUUCGUUACACAGUAAUUUAAUCAUAUUUUCGAAGUGCCUAAACAAACUGUGAUCCGUACCGUGUGCAUUAACCAUCAGGAAACCUCUGGACUUGUGUAACGCCAUUAGUUCGCCUUAUGUUUCGUGUGAUACGCCAGUGUAUUGUGUACUACAGCACCCGUGCGAGCGGCCUUUGUUCUCGCCUGUCCGCGUUCGCUCGUGGAAUACCUGAUACUGUGGCUUCGAAUUAUGGUGCGUGAAAGAAUUUGUUGACAGUUGUGCUUUCGUGCGCUGGUGUUCAUCGGCGAUUCAACAGUGUUCGCGCUGGAAAGAGUGUCGUCGCGUGGUGCCUGCGAGACGAAGAAGCCGUUUGCUGACCACAUUGAAGGUGCCUUGUGAGCUCUCACCCAAGCAACACAUUCCAGAGGUCUGCUGUGAGCAGACGUGGCAAACUGAAGUAACAUUCAGAUAGUCCAAUAAACUGUUCGUAGUUUCAGACAAA